RNAcentral lists this ribosomal RNA (253 nucleotides) under uncultured bacterium. RNAcentral describes it as "partial 16S ribosomal RNA". It matches the Rfam family "Bacterial small subunit ribosomal RNA", at positions 524 to 776 of the family's 1533-position model. The record is from RNAcentral.
UACGGAGGGUGCAAGCGUUGUCCGGAAUCACUGGGCGUAAAGGGCGCGUAGGCGGCUCAUGAAGGCUGUGGUGAAAGUCCGGGGCUCAACCUCGGAUCGGCCGUGGCGACUCGUGGGCUGGAGCACUGUAGAGGCGGGUGGAAUUCCGGGUGUAGCGGUGAAAUGCGUAGAUAUCAGGAGGAACACCUGUGGCGAAAGCGGCGCACUGGACCACAACUGACGCUGAGGCGCGAAAGCUAGGGGAGCAAACAGG